CAGUAGCCGCGGUAACACGUAGGUGGCAAGCGUUAUCCGGAAUGAUUGGGCGUAAAGCUUCUGUAGGUGGCUUUUCAAGUCCGCCGUCAAAUCCCAGGGCUCAACCCUGGACAGGCGGUGGAAACUACCAAGCUGGAGUACGGUAGGGGCGGAGGGAAUUUCCGGUGGAGCGGUGAAAUGCGUUGAGAUCGGUAAGAACACCAACGGCGAAAGCACUCUGCUGGGCCGACACUGACACUGAGAGACGAAAGCUAGGGGAGCAAAUGGGAUUAGAUACCCGUGUAGUCCCUGUCUCUUAUAC
This 301-nucleotide ribosomal RNA is filed under the name uncultured bacterium. RNAcentral's name for it is "partial 16S ribosomal RNA". It matches the Rfam family "Bacterial small subunit ribosomal RNA", at positions 509 to 807 of the family's 1533-position model. The record is from RNAcentral.